RNAcentral lists this ribosomal RNA (360 nucleotides) under uncultured bacterium. RNAcentral describes it as "partial 16S ribosomal RNA". It matches the Rfam family "Bacterial small subunit ribosomal RNA", at positions 338 to 696 of the family's 1533-position model. The record is from RNAcentral.
CCUACGGGCGGCAGCAGUGAGGAAUAUUGGUCAAUGGGCGGGAGCCUGAACCAGCCAAGCCGCGUGAGGGAAGAAGGUACAGCGUAUCGUAAACCUCUUUUGUCAGGGAACAAAGGCGUGGACGAGUCCCCGGAUGAGGGUACCUGAAGAAAAAGCAUCGGCUAACUCCGUGCCAGCAGCCGCGGUAAUACGGGGGAUGCGAGCGUUAUCCGGAUUUAUUGGGGUUAAAGGGUGCGCAGGCGGCCUGUUAAGUCAGCGGUAAAAUCCCGGGGCUCAACCCCGGAGAGCCGGUGAAACUGGAGGGCUGGAGUUGGAGAGAAGUAUGAGGAAUGCGCGGUGUAGCGGUGAAAGGCUUAGAUA